This 492-nucleotide ribosomal RNA is filed under the name uncultured bacterium. RNAcentral describes it as "bacterial SSU rRNA". It matches the Rfam family "Bacterial small subunit ribosomal RNA", at positions 28 to 512 of the family's 1533-position model. The record is from RNAcentral.
GACGAACGCUGGCGGCGUGGAUUAGGCAUGCAAGUCGAACGGUAGGAUACCUUCGGGUAUCUGAGAGUGGCGAACGGGUGAGUAACACGUAGGUGAUCUACCCUCAAGAUUGGGACAACCCAGGGAAACUUGGGCUAAUACCGGAUGAAAGCAGCAGUGAUGUUGUUUGAAAGGUGGCGUAAGCUGCCGUUUGGGGAUGAGCCUGCGCUCUAUUAGUUAGUUGGCGGGGUAAAGGCCCACCAAGGCGAUGAUAGAUAGGCGGCCUUAACGGGUGGUCGCCCACACUGGGAUUGAGAUACGGCCCAGACUCCUACGGGAGGCAGCAGUCGAGAAUAGUCUACAAUGGUCGGAAGACUGAUAGUGCGACGCCGCGUGAACGAAGAAGCCCUUCGGGUGUAAAGUUCUUUUAUAUGUGAGCAGUGCUUUCUAUGUGAACAGCAUGGGGAGAGAGAUAUUAGCAUAUGAAUAAGCAACGGCUAACUCCGUGCCAGC